GAUGCAGGGCCAUACACUCUCCGAAGCACUUCUUCACUCUUAUCUCGUAAUUCUCUCCCCACCCUUUGGUUGAGGAACAGGUGAUAUUUUUAGCUCUGUUUUCCUAGUAAGUAAGUUAAUUUUCAGAGAAGAUAAAGUAACCCCAAAGACACAACUGGAUAGAAGUUGAUCUAGGGCUAGAAACCAGCUCUCCCAACCUAGGGAUCAGGGUUCCUCACUGUCCCCCAAUGCCACUGGAACCUGAAAUGGCACGGCCUGGUCUGGAGGACGUUGAGGAGCAUAAAUUAGGCAGAGGAAGGAGUGUGGGUACGGGGAGUGUUCCAGGUGGAAGGAACAGCACUUCAAGGCCUUGAGGAAGGAGCCAGAGUGGUGCUUCCUGAGAACCAAAACAGGCCAGGAAGGCUGGGCCACGGAAAGCAACGUGGGGGCUGGUGUGAGGUGGGACUGGAUUAUGAAGAGCUCCGAGAGCUCACUUGCCACUUCUUCAACGGGACCUGCCUACCUCCAGCAGCAGAUUCCUUCCUGAAGAGCGUCAGCACACUCUCUCCCGUGGACUUCCGCUGUACCCAAUGGCACUGACCUUUGAGCCACUGGUGGCGGUGUGGGGGGAGGCACGGGAUUAACUGGAAUAUGAAGAGGAUGGAAGGAAUGACAUGGGCUGCUAUCAGUCAGGAGAAAGCGUUGUGCUUGGAACCGAGAGAAAUAUGUGUGAGUGGUCAAGGUGCCUAAGGAAUGGGACUGACAUGGGCCGUCAGGGAUGCUUGAAGGAUUAAUACUUUAGACCCAGCCUUUCAUGUCUUGGCUAUUGCAAUGGUCUCCUAACUAAUCAGCAAGCCGGUCUUCAACUUUGACCAAAUCAAGUUGCCCAUACCUAAAACCACCAGAAAGCCAGUCUGGAGUGGAAGAGACAGAAGCGAAGCUGCAGAGAGGAGCGAGGAGAGAUGGAGAGAGCAUCCUGUUGGCACUUGAGCCCUGUGUUCGACAUGUUUCUUAGGCCGUCAAAGGGCGGGUUCUACGGAAUCAGACCCUGAGACCGAGUCUCGGGUGCAGGAUAUUUAUUAGGGAGCAACACUCAUGGGAAGAAGGAGAGGAAGCAGUGUGGCGCAGAGAGGGAAACUGAACUACAACGCAGGUCUAACAAAGCCUUGGUCGACCACUCAGCGAACUUGUUGGUAUUGUCCUGCAUGGGCCACGAUGGCCUGGCCUUUAUAGUCCCCGUGACCAGUGACUGGGUCUGAGCUGCCCAGGGAAGAGCAUGUUCCUGGGUGAGGCAACUCUGUUGCUGAGGCAGACCCUGAAGUCACAGACGGUUGCAGGCUGUCUACUAAACACCCACCCACAUCUGGGGCAACACAUCCUUCUUUGAAAGGGGUCUGGGCAGCACAUCUCAGGUCCACCACGGAGGCCUGCCUUCGCCUGCCUUCCCUGUGAGUAAUGGUCAACGCUGUCUUUUAAUUAUGUGAGACACUCCAAAAUGCUUUCAAUACAUUUCCAUUUCGCCAAAUCAAGGUCAAGUUAGAUUUCUAUCACUUGCCACCAAGAAAGUCCUGACUAAUAUCCUCCAGCCAGAUGGCUCCCCAGAACACCCUCUCUACUCCUUCGGCUGAGAAGUGCCUGUGCUUUUUCUCCUCUACCCACCCAGUGAUGCAACAGGUAUUUCCCAAGCACCCACUGUGUGCCAGGCAGGACUCGAACUCCUCCUCUCCCAAAGCUCCAGCCUCGCCCCGCGGCCUUCCAUGGCCUCUCCGACCCUCGGCCCUCAGCACGUGCGCCCUCCUUUGAACGCCAAUAGCUCUUGUCAUCUCUGCUGUUCACUCAGCGCUGCUUUGCCUCUCUCUGGACCACUGGCCUCCAGGAGAAAUGUUCUGGUGGCACUGUUCUAGGAAAUAAGGGGCCCCAAGGAGGAAUGGGACUAGAAAAUUCCCGUGGGCUUGUCCCAUCCUCAGAGGGUGUUCCUUAAAUUUCGGUGCUCUUUCUAGGAGAUUCUUGGAGAAAUUUCUUCCCUAUCUCAUUAUCGAUAGCACAAGUGCUUCUGGAUAGCUGCCUGUUUUUUCUCUCACCGCCCUGUGAACUGUAUAACUGGCUACGUUCUCUUUUCACAUCGCUUGCUAGGGAGCUCAAGCCGAAUUUGUGACACUCUCUUAGCAAGCAUGUAACAUUCUAUGUCCAUGUCACUGACCACAGCCUCCAGGUAAUUGAGGCUGAGGACAUAUUUUAUUUGUUUAGUUGAGAUUUCUUAAAAAUAUAACCUGAAUGUCUUCAGGCUGGGCACGCAGCCUCUUGGUUGCCACAAACACACCCACCCCCUGUUGUAAAUACAACUUGUCACUUCACAUGUGUGCUACCUGCUGGCCCCCUGAAAGCGUUUGAUUUUAGAAUUCUUCACCUGUGAUGUGCAUUUUAAAAAAAUUUUAAUAGUAUGUUUUAUUUAACCCCCACAUCAAAAAUAUUAUCAAAAUAUUAUGUUUUAAAAAGUAUUAAUGAGUUUUUUUAUACUAAGCAUUUGGAGUCCAAUGUGUCUUUCUUUUCCUGUGGCAAAAUACACGUGACAUAAAUUUCCCAUUUUAGCCAUGUUUAAGCGCACAGUUCAGUGGCUUUAAGUGCAUUCACAUUGCUGCGCAGCCAUCACCAUCAUCCGUCUCCAGAACUUUUUCCAUCUUGCCAGACUGAAACUCUGUUCCCAUUUAAUAACUCCCAUUUCCCCCUGUCCCCACCAUUCUGCUUUCUGUCCUUAUGAGUCUGACUACUCUAGGGACCUGGUAUAAGUGGAAUCACACAGUCUUUGUCCUUUUGUGUCUGCCUCAUUCCACUCAGCAUGAUGUCUUCAAGGUCCAUCCACGUUGUAGCAUGUGUCAGGAUUUCCUUCCUUUUUAAGGCCGAAUAAUAUUCCAUUGUAGGUGUAUGCCACAUUUUGUUUAUUCAUUCAUCUAUGGUCUGCCUUUUUGUAUUAGCCUCAUUGCAUGUUGUUGCACUUGCUCUUUCUAAAUAAACUGCCUUUAAUCCUUUUAUGAGCAGCGCGCAGCAUAAAUAAAUACAUCCACAUGUUCCUCCUCAACAAGACCAUAAGCUCCUUAAAGACAGUGCUCAGCACAAGUUGGGCACAAAGCAGAUGUUCGACACGUGUGUUCUGGGCACAGGUCACACUGGCAUCUAACCCGGGUGAGGGGGCUGCGCAGGGUAGGCAGGGGAGCGCCUGCACCCUGGCCGAGGGGUGGGGGUGGCGUGCGGGGCACAAAGCCAGGGCAGCCUUGGCCAUCUUGUCUGCGUGUCGCUGGUUCCUGCAUCCACUCUGCGUCCUCCAGUAGCGUUUCUUGCGGGUCUUAGAGACGGCGCUGUCAACAUGUGUUACCUUAGAAACAGUGACGGGGCGCCUGGGGGCGCAGGGGCUGAGGAGCUGCUCUGCGUC
This 3406-nucleotide long non-coding RNA is filed under the name Equus asinus (donkey). RNAcentral's name for it is "lncRNA (ENSEASG00005034350.1)". Lineage: Eukaryota; Metazoa; Chordata; Mammalia; Perissodactyla; Equidae. The record is from RNAcentral.